This 376-nucleotide ribosomal RNA is filed under the name uncultured organism. RNAcentral's name for it is "partial 16S ribosomal RNA". It matches the Rfam family "Bacterial small subunit ribosomal RNA", at positions 526 to 896 of the family's 1533-position model. The record is from RNAcentral.
GUAGGGGGGCAAGCGUUGUCCGGAUUCAUUGGGCGUAAAGCGCGUGUAGGCGGUUCAAUAGGUCCGAUGUGAAAACUCGAGGCUCAACUUCGAGAGGCCAUCGGAAACCAUUGGACUAGAGUCCGGAAGAGGAGAGUGGAAUUCCUGGUGUAGCGGUGGAAUGCGCAGAUAUCAGGAGGAACACCGAUGGCGAAGGCAGCUCUCUGGGACGGUACUGACGCUGAGACGCGAAAGCGUGGGGGGAGCGAACAGGAUUAGAUACCCUGGUAGUCCACGCCGUAAACCGAUGGGCACUAGGUGUGGGUGGUGUCGACUCCAUCCGUGCCGCAGCUAACGCAUUAAGUGCCCCCCGCCUGGGAGUACGGCCGCAAGGCUA